Non-coding RNA from Anas platyrhynchos (mallard), 5087 nucleotides. NCBI's taxonomy places the organism in Eukaryota, Metazoa, Chordata, Aves, Anseriformes, Anatidae. The record is from RefSeq and is a predicted model, not a curated record.
AGGGCAGGAGGGCUCCAGCCAUGCCUUCCCCAGGCCUUUGGGUCCGCAGGGAAGCCCACCAAACCCUUUAAGGGGAUCAGAGGGGAGGGGAUGCAUCAUCUCCUGCACUGCUGGAGGUAGAAAAUCCCUAUUAUUAGGGAUUAUGAGACCUUGGGUAUGUUUUCCUAGAAACAAAUCCCCUAGAAGUGCGUGCAGUUUCCCCAGACCCUCUAAACCUGCCCGUGGUUAGGGUCAGGCACCCCUGCUGCCCAGCCUGCAGAACACCAAACCCCGUUUUGGGGAGGGGGCUGGAAGCCAAGCAGGGCGCAGCACAGGAUUUCUCCCUCUCCGAGGCCUCGGGGUGGAUGUGUGGGACACUCCUGGGAGCCACAGGCUCGAGGCUGGCACCGAAGCACACAGCAGGAUGCGGAGCGCCGUAUUUCAAGCCCAGCCGUCGGCAUCGGGGGUUUUCUGCUCCCAGCCAGGGGCGUAACGUGCAGGGCGGCUGUCGGGAGGCUGAGAGUCCCUAUAUCACUGCUGCAGAGGGUGAUUCAUGAUUACCCGCAGUAAUCCAGAAGCUCUACAAAACUGCUAAUAAUAGGCCUUGCAAACCGACAUUUUAGUCGAGAUAAAAAAUGACGGGAACGGAAUCCAACCGUGCCUCGCUGGAACUAUAAAUGGAAAGGUAUUGCCCGUGCUCGGCUCCAGAAACACGGCACAAAGCGAAAGCAGGGGACGGAGCUCGGCCCCAGGAUCCCAGCCGAGGUGGGACAGGGAUCCCACGGCAGAGAAGUGAGCGUGGCACGGGCAGAAAGCACCUCCUGAUGUCCCUGGUGUCCCAGGACUGGCACAGAUCCCAAACUCCAGGGCUUUGGGGAAGGGGUAGAGCUGCUGAAACCUGGGCAAACACGGCCAGGCUGUUGGUGUUGGCCCCGCCGUGCCGCGGGGCUGCCAGGCCCUUUAACGAGGAUCACGCUCACGAAGCAGCCCCGAGCUGGGCGAAAGCAGGGGUGGGAUGUGGGCUGCGUGGUGCUAACAACCCUUCUGCCUGCUCCAGCAGCGCGUAUUAGAGCGAACGCAGGCACGAGGCAUUAAACGCCUUAAUGCUGGCGGCUUCCCGGUGCCAGCGCCGAGUCUCUGCCAUGCCAGGAGACACGCAGGCAGCUCGACAUACCCAGGGACGCCUUUCCAAGCUCGAUCGUUAAAAUUAAGCAUAUUGCAACCAAAUUUUAAUGUCACGUCUUCUGCUCGUCGGAGCUCUCAAAUCUGUUCGUGCAGCCACCCGAAUUACAAGGCUGCUUUAUGCUCCGCGGGCUGAGGGGUGACUUUUUUUUCCACGCUUAAUUAGUUAAAAACCAACAGGGCUGGGUCACUACGGCUUUGGGUCAUGGAGCUGCUGGGUUAUGUGUGCGUAUAUAUAUAUAUUUUUAUUUUUUUUUUUCACUUCUGAGCUGCUGUUUCUCAUCUGGCAGCAGGCUGCCCGCCACUGAGUCAAUAUUAUUUGAUGCCUGCCCCAUGGCUUGGCUGAAACGACCCCAUCUCCCCGAGCAAACCCCCAGCCGCAGGGAACCACAUCACAGAACCCAUGCACACGGCCGUGGGACGAGGGCUGGGGACACGGCCCCGCUCCCCAAAGGGGCCACGGGCGAAGCUGGAGGUGCUGGGGACAGCUCUGCUGUUCCUCUCCAUCCUCCAUCCUUCUGGGGACCGAGUUCCUGCACCUUGUGCGGAAAUCCUAUAAACGCAACAUGGGAAUUUGGUGUAAUUUAUAACCCCGAAGGCAGUGCGGACCAGAUGUUUCUGAGCUAGCUGCUCUUUCUGCCAACGAUAAGGCCCCCUGGGCUCGGUUUCGACUCCAGAAAUGUGGCCGGUUAAUUAAUUAACGUGACUCGAACGCCCCGGUCCUGUAGGGCACCUGCCCCCGGUGCGGACACCUCCGUGCCCCUGGCUGUGCCCGUGAAAGCCGAGGCAGAAAGCUGCCGAGGCGAGGCCGAGCCGCAGCGGGGCCGUGCACACAAAACAAUGCCGUGAUUCAUCGGAGAUUGCCAUAACCCAUCGCGUUUCAUCAGGAUGCUGUGGCAUUUAAAUUAAAUGGCAUUUCCUCCCAUCUGUUGCGCAUUAGCAGACAAAGAAAAAGGAGGGGGGGGGGGGGGGUGAGGAGGAAGAACAGCAUAACAAAACGGGGAGAAAAACGGGAUUCCUGAGUCAGGCUGUUCUUGCGGGAGGCUCCUCGCCAAACCCGAGCCCACCCUGUGGGAUGAGGGCAGGGGGAUUCACCGCGGACCCCUCUGCCCCCGCUGCUCCCCCGGGCCCGGCAGCGAGGGCUGCUGACACCCGCGGUGACUCAAAGCCUCGCGGAGCAGCACCUGGCAACCCUCUCCCCGCACACCCCGAGCUGAGCAACGCCAGCUUCGGGCUGGCAAACCGGGGGCAGGAGUAAAACCAAGCCCCCCGAGCCAGCCGCUCUUGUGGCUUUUAUUUUUCCUUGGCCGUUUCCUCCUCUUCGCCUCUCAUUUUCCAUUGCCUCCUCCCUCCCCUGACUGAUUUUCCCUUGGAAAUGAGGAUUUUUCCUCAUCCCCACUUCUCUCUUUCAUCUAGUUUGGUUCCUUUGCUCCCGGUUCCUCUGCUCCCCAUCCCUUCUCCCUCCUCCUGUCCCUCUUGCACUGCCCCUGCCCUAACACAUCCCCACUCCUGCGCCACCCCAGCAGGGAGCACCCUCAGGACCAGACCAGCCAAGGCAGCGGUCCCGUGGAGCAGCCACCCUAAAGAUGCUGCGUGAAGCACCCCCGACGAUCCUUCCCCUAAGGGGAUACAAGCAGCACCCUGCACUGUAACCACCAGCAGCAGGAGGCAGAAACAUCUUCAGGCAAGCAGCCUGGGACCCCCGAGCAGCCAGACCCCAGAGAUGCCAGGAAACAACCCAGCACCCUCAGGGAUCACGGCGUCCCCUCACUUUGCUCAAGGCAACCUUCGUUCCCCAGCAUCGCACAAGCAGAAGCAAUGCCUGAAAACCACCCCUAAUGCAUGAGCAGACAAAUCCCUCGAGCCAGAGCUCAUAGCUUGAGCAGCAGAGAGCAGAAAAGUGUCCCUGCAAGCCCAAGGGUCCAGCAGGCGCGCUCAGAGCCCGUCGGCUCCCACCCGGCAGAGGACGGGCAGCGCUUCCAGCUGCUAGCACGCUCCCCGAGCCCGGCUUUGGCCAGGACACAGGCAGUCAUUCAGGACGGAAUAGGGACAGAGCAGCUUUCCCCCAAGCUCUCGGCGUUCAGGGCUGAGGGCACGGCCGGGGCCGUGCGGUUGGUAGCAGACGGAGCUGAGCUGGCUCCCAAAUUACGGCCGCCUUAUCCCCGUCUGGGUUUGACACGGCUUCCUCCCUUCCCUUCGUGACUCAGUGCCUUGGCACCGCGAACGCAUACCCAAGAGGUUAGCCUUUGAAAGCCACCGGGGACGGUUCACCUUCCUAAAAUAAAGAGCGGGCGAAAAUAUUUUCAACAUCCCUGCGAAGAAAAAAAAAAAAUGCCCCCGAAAACAUCGCCGCUUAAUAAAUGGAUGUUGUUGGGCCUCAGCUGGCUCUGGGCUGAGGUAAAUUUUCCUAUUUAUAAUCACGCAGCUGUUGGCUGGCUGAAUAACUGUAUUUAUUAUUUGGCAUGUUUACUAACCGCCUCAAAUACCUUCUCUACCUGUAAUUGUGGUGCAGCGUACACAUAUAUAUGUAUUUUAGAUUUCUUCAUUCAAGUGGUUUGUGUUACUCCCGGGCUCCGUGCUGCGGUUUGCUGAGGGUGCCCAUGGUUUGGAGGUAUGGAGCUCUGGACUCAGGUGACCCUGAACUGCAGCAGACCUGCAAAGAGACACCUGGGAAAAAAAAUUUAGACAUUUUUUAAAGCCAUUUGUCCAUUUGCACUCUGGGCUUUAGCAUACUCUAUUUGCCUCUCCUAUAAGCAGCACCUCCUGAAUGUGUUUCCCCCUUGUCUACGCUCAUCUCUGCCUCUUUGAAACCUGGCCGAACGCCCCCAGCCCAGCCCCUGAGCCCUGCAGGACUCUGAGGGUCUCCCUCGCCCUGCCCGCAUGUGUCUGCCCCUGUUAUCCGUCCCUGUGAGUCUCUGGGAUGUGCUCCCUGCCCCUUGUCUCUGCAAGUGGAUGUUCCGAUGCUCUUGAUGAUUUUCUGCUUGCUCACCUGCCCUUUUCCCAGCACCAGAUGUCCCGUCCUUCCUCCAUUCAGCCCAAUCUAAGCGCUGCUCUUGCAGCUCCCUACACCCCACAGGACUCCUUUUGCGUAUGCCGUUUGGUGGGAGGGCUUCAUUGCCUGGCAGAGGGGCUCCUCUUUCUGCCCUAGGCAUGGGCAGCCCCUCCUGUGCUCAGGGGGCUCCUGUACACCAUGGGGUGUGCAGGGAUAGGGGUGCAGGAGGAUUGGUCUGGCUUUAGGAAUUUAUUUAUUUUUUUAAUAGAAGAACAAACAGAAAAGGAGGUAUAAAAGCAUUGCAGAUGGUUCUUGUUCCACGUCAAAGUGGGUCAAAAUCUGUUCAUCGAUAAGCUUGCAGCAGGCAGCACCCUUUGUGUAUCACAGGGGCUGAAUCUCAACCCAACCCCAUUUCCAGAGGUCCUGGCCCACAGCAUCCCCAGGAAGCACACUUCAGGGCUUUCUGCCCCAGGGAUACUCUCCUUACAGAGCUCUUCUCCUUCACUGAAGAGGAGAAUUGGGUCUCCAAACCAGGCUGCUGGGCUGAUCAAGCCUUGCACCUCUGUGUGAGGGUCAUCUCGGAGCAAGGGGAUGACAUCUCAGCCAGCCACACCGUCGCCCUCGCAGGGCUGCAGCUUCCACAUUUACCCCGAGCCUCAAUGACCAUCUGUGCCGGCGGAGGUCACCCCCAGAAAGGACUGGCCAGGUCCGUGCCCCAUUUACAGGGGCUGUAAAACCGCCACCUGGCCGCUGGCUUUAUGGCUUUGGACGACGCUGGUGUCAAAGAAACUUGGCGCGGGAGCCAGCUGGAGCGGGGCCAGUUUUAUAUUUAAUCUUGCCUAUAAAUGCAAAUAAAGGCUCUGUAUUUGGAGUGAGUGACAGGCGCACCGUGGACAUUAUUAAACCUUCCAAAAAUAAACCUCUGCCAAAGUGA